UGGGGCACUUGGCGAAGCCUGGGUUUCCUGUAGUGGUUGGUACAUGCUAAAUGGUGGAGCCUAGAGAAUUAUAGUGAUGGUGGUGAUGACCACAAGGUGAUCAAGUGCUCAACUUGAAAAUGAAGAAAGAGAGAAACAAAAUCCUAUGGAGACCAAGAAAAAUAUAUUGCUUAGGGUUUUGGUUUUGGUGAUCAAGCACCAUAGAAGGUGUGAUCACACUUAGGAUAGAUAGCCGUACCAUAA
This 243-nucleotide long non-coding RNA is filed under the name Sorghum bicolor (sorghum). RNAcentral's name for it is "long non-coding RNA (SBIC_LNC009256)". The record is from RNAcentral. Lineage: Eukaryota; Viridiplantae; Streptophyta; Magnoliopsida; Poales; Poaceae.